This 842-nucleotide ribosomal RNA is filed under the name uncultured bacterium. Its description in RNAcentral is "bacterial SSU rRNA". It matches the Rfam family "Bacterial small subunit ribosomal RNA", at positions 33 to 872 of the family's 1533-position model. The record is from RNAcentral.
ACGCUGGCGGUAUGCUUUACACAUGCAAGUCGAACGGGCUUGGGGGCUUGCUCCCGGGUUAGUGGCGAACGGGUGAGUAAUGUAUCGGAACAUAUCCGGAAGUGGGGGAUAACGUAGCGAAAGUUACGCUAAUACCGCAUAUGCCCUGAGGGGGAAAGGGGGGGAUCGCAAGACCUCUCGCUUUCGGAGUGGCCGAUAUCGGAUUAGCUAGAUGGUGAGGUAAAGGCUCACCAUGGCGACGAUCCGUAGCUGGUCUGAGAGGACGACCAGCCACACUGGAACUGAGACACGGUCCAGACUCCUACGGGAGGCAGCAGUGGGGAAUUUUGGACAAUGGGCGAAAGCCUGAUCCAGCCAUACCGCGUGAGUGAAGAAGGCCUUCGGGUUGUAAAGCUCUUUCAGCCGGAAAGAAAUUGCACUUCUUAAUACGAAGUGUAGAUGACGGUACCGGAAGAAGAAGCACCGGCUAACUACGUGCCAGCAGCCGCGGUAAUACGUAGGGUGCGAGCGUUAAUCGGAAUUACUGGGCGUAAAGCGUGCGCAGGCGGUUUUUUAAGCCAGAUGUGAAAUCCCCGGGCUCAACCUGGGAACUGCAUUUGGAACUGGAAGACUAGAGUAUAGCAGAGGGGGGUAGAAUUCCACGUGUAGCAGUGAAAUGCGUAGAUAUGUGGAGGAAUACCAAUGGCGAAGGCAGCCCCCUGGGUUAAUACUGACGCUCAUGCACGAAAGCGUGGGGAGCAAACAGGAUUAGAUACCCUGGUAGUCCACGCCCUAAACGAUGUCAACUAGUUGUUGGGGGAGGAGACUUCCUUAGUAACGCAGCUAACGCGUGAAGUGACCGC